This 208-nucleotide ribosomal RNA is filed under the name uncultured bacterium. Its description in RNAcentral is "partial 16S ribosomal RNA". It matches the Rfam family "Bacterial small subunit ribosomal RNA", at positions 568 to 774 of the family's 1533-position model. The record is from RNAcentral.
CACGUAGGCGGUCUGGCAAGUCAGGUGUGAAAGCCCUCGGCUCAACCGAGGAAUUGCACCUGAAACUGCCGGACUAGAGUCCGGGAGAGGAGAGUGGAAUUCCCAGUGUAGCGGUGAAAUGCGUAGAUAUUGGGAGGAACACCUGUGGCGAAGGCGGCUCUCUGGACCGGUACUGACGCUGAGGUGCGAAAGCGGUGGGGAGCAAACA